CGGACGGGGGAGUGAUGUCUGGGAAACGUGCCUGAUGGAGGGGGAUAACUACUGGAAACGGUAGCUAAUACCGCAUAACGUCGCAAGACCAAAGAGGGGGACCGUUCGGGCCUCUUGCCAUCGGAUGUGCCCAGAUGGGAUUAGCUAGUAGGUGGGGUAACGGCUCACCUAGGCGACGAUCCCUAGCUGGUCUGAGAGGAUGACCAGCCACACUGGAACUGAGACACGGUCCAG
This 234-nucleotide ribosomal RNA is filed under the name uncultured bacterium. Its description in RNAcentral is "partial 16S ribosomal RNA". It matches the Rfam family "Bacterial small subunit ribosomal RNA", at positions 99 to 334 of the family's 1533-position model. The record is from RNAcentral.